GAGACCGGCGCACGGGUGAGUACCGCGUAUGCAAUCUACCUUUUGCUGGGGGAUAGCCCGAAGAAAUUUGGAUUAAUACCCCAUGGUAUACAGUUUUGGCAUCGGAAUUGUAUUAAAGCUGAGGCGGCAAAAGAUGAGCAUGCGUUCCAUUAGCUGGUUGGUAUGGUAACGGCAUACCAAGGCUACGAUGGAUCGGGGUCCUGAGAGGGAGAUCCCCCACACUGGAACUGAGACACGGACCAGACUCCUACGGGAGGCAGCAGUGAGGAAUAUUGGACAAUGGGCGGGAGCCUGAUCCAGCCAUGCCGCGUGCAGGAAGACUGCCCUAUGGGUUGUAAACUGCUUUUCUACGAGAAGAAUAAGGGCUACGUGUAGCUUGAUGACGGUAUCGUAGGAAUAAGCACCGGCUAACUCCGUGCCAGCAGCCGCGGUAAUACGGAGGGUGCAAGCGUUAUCCGGAAUCAUUGGGUUUAAAGGGUCCGUAGGCGGAUGGAUAAGUCAGUGGUGAAAGUUUGCCGCUUAACGGUAAAAUUGCCUCU
Molecule: ribosomal RNA, 539 nt
Filed under: Sinomicrobium sp.
Lineage: Bacteria; Pseudomonadati; Bacteroidota; Flavobacteriia; Flavobacteriales; Flavobacteriaceae
Description: bacterial SSU rRNA
Rfam family: Bacterial small subunit ribosomal RNA
Source: RNAcentral